This 876-nucleotide long non-coding RNA is filed under the name Pan troglodytes (chimpanzee). Its description in RNAcentral is "long non-coding RNA NONPTRT010684". The record is from RNAcentral. Lineage: Eukaryota; Metazoa; Chordata; Mammalia; Primates; Hominidae.
UCAGGACUGGGAAUAUUUACUAAAUUCAGACUACCACCAGAAUGUUGAGUCUCAUCUUUUGAACAGAUCUUUAUGUCUGAGUCCUUCAGAAGCUUCACAGAUGAAGGAUGAGGAUUUUUCACAGAAUCUCAGUCUGGAUUCUUCUACACUUCUCUUUACGCACAUACCUGCAAUUUUUUUCGUUCUUCACCUUGUGUAUGAGGAGCUUAAGUUGAAUACUCUAAUGGGAGAAGGAAUUUGUUCACUUGUUGAACUUCUCGUUCAGUUGGCAAGGGACUUAAAAUUGGGGCCUUAUGUAGAUCAUUACUAUAGAGACUACCCAACGCUUGUCAGAACUACUGGACAAGUGUGCACAAUUGAUCCAGGUCAAACAGGAUUUAUGCAUCAUCCAUCAUUUUUUACAUCUGAGCCACCAAGUAUUUAUCAGUGGGUGAGUUCUUGUCUGAAGGGUGAAGGAAUGCCGCCUUAUCCUUACCUCCCUGGAAUCUGUGAAAGAAGCAGACUUGUAGUCUUGAGUAUUGCACUGUACAUACUUGGUGAUGAGAGCUCGGUUUCUGAUGAAUCCUCACAGUAUUUAACCAGAAUAACUAUAGCCCUCCAGAAGUUGCAAGUAGAACAAGAGGAAAACAGGUUUAGUUUCAGGCAUUCUACAUCUGUUUCUAGUCUAGCUGAAAGAUUGGUUGUCUGGAUGACUAAUGUAGGAUUCACUUUAAGAGAUUUGGAAACUCUUCCCUUUGGAAUUGCUCUUCCCAUCAGAGAUGCAAUUUAUCACUGUCGUGAGCAGCCUGCCUCAGACUGGCCAGAAGCUGUCUGUCUCUUGAUUGGACGUCAGGAUCUUUCCAAGCAGGCCUGCGAAGGAAACUUACCCAAAGGGAA